UGUUGGUUGGCGGCGAACGGCUCAGUAACACGUAGUCAACCUGCCCUCGGGCCGAGAAUAAUCUCGGGAAACUGAGGCUAAUGAACGAUAGGUCAAGAUUCCUGGAAUGGGUUUUGGUCUAAAUGGCGUGACAGCAUCUUGUCAUGUCCGCCCGAGGAUGGGACUGCGGCCGAUCAGGCUGUUGGUGGGGUAAAGGCCCACCAAACCAGUAACCGGUACGGGCUUUGAGAGAAGGAGCCCGGAGAUGGACACUGAGACAAGGGUCCAGGUCCUACGGGGCGCAGCAGGCGCGAAACCUUCGCAAUGCGCGCAAGCGCGACGAGGUUAUUCCGAGUGAUUUCCGCUGAGGAAAUCUUUUCUUAGAUCUAAAAAGUCUGGGGAAUAAGGGGAGGGCAAGUCUGGUGUCAGCCGCCGCGGUAAUACCAGCUCCUCGAGUGGUCAGGGCGUUUAUUGGGCCUAAAGCAUCCGUACCCUGCUUGGUAGGUCUCCUGUUAUAUCCAACGGCUCAACCGCUGGUCUGCAGGAGAUAUCGCUAUGCUAAGGAUGAGGUAGAGGCGGACGGUACUCCCAGGGUAAGGUUUUAAUCCUUUUAUUCCCCGAAUA
This 603-nucleotide ribosomal RNA is filed under the name uncultured archaeon. Its description in RNAcentral is "bacterial SSU rRNA". It matches the Rfam family "Archaeal small subunit ribosomal RNA", at positions 69 to 656 of the family's 1478-position model. The record is from RNAcentral.